Molecule: long non-coding RNA, 229 nt
Organism: Eleginops maclovinus (Patagonian blennie)
Lineage: Eukaryota; Metazoa; Chordata; Actinopteri; Perciformes; Eleginopidae
Exons: 3
Source: RefSeq, a predicted model, not a curated record
UAAUGUUUGUACUAAUUUUUCCUUUUUCAAAUCUUAGUUGGCCGUUAUUCAGGGGCUCAGCUUAAUCUUGGAGGUUACAGAUCUCUUGGGUUGGGCGGUAGAGCAGGCCUCAGGCAAGGUGGAUAUGGAGCCCAGGGCGGUUAUGGUGCUGAUCUGGGCACAGGAAUGGGGUUAGGGACUGGACUUACAAAUGGAAUGGGAAUGGGUUUGGGCCAGGGAGGGAAACGCG